RNAcentral lists this ribosomal RNA (253 nucleotides) under uncultured bacterium. Its description in RNAcentral is "partial 16S ribosomal RNA". It matches the Rfam family "Bacterial small subunit ribosomal RNA", at positions 524 to 776 of the family's 1533-position model. The record is from RNAcentral.
UACAGAGGGUGCAAGCGUUAAUCGGAAUUACUGGGCGUAAAGCGUGCGUAGACGGUUACGUAAGUCGGGUGUGAAAGCCCCGGGCUCAACCUGGGAAUUGCAUUCGAGACUGUGUAGCUAGGGUGCGGAAGAGGGAAGCGGAAUUUCCGGUGUAGCGGUGAAAUGCGUAGAUAUCAGGAGGAACACCGGUGGCGAAGGCGGGUCUCUGGGCCGAUACUGACGCUGAGGAGCGAAAGCGUGGGGAGCGAACAGG